Molecule: non-coding RNA, 30 nt
Filed under: Homo sapiens (human)
Lineage: Eukaryota; Metazoa; Chordata; Mammalia; Primates; Hominidae
Source: RNAcentral
GACACUACCCACCUGGUGGACUGCUUUGCC